UUGUUGUUGCUAUUGGUGCUAGUAGUAAGAUAAUUAACACUUGUUGUUUUAAGACUCCCCCAUCCCAAUAUCCUCUGGAAGCAGGAGUGGAUGUUCGCACCCCUUACCUAUCACUUCAGGCUUUUUGCAGAGCCUAAAAGGAGAGUGACGCGGGCGGGCGCUGAUUGGCCGAGCCGAGAAAGGGAGGCUGCGAAGAGGAGGAGGCGGCGCUACGCCCCACGACUAAUUAUUACAAGAAGACGGCGGCGACGUGAACCACUGAAUGCUAUUUAAAGGGACAGCGGCCCGUCCCACGUCGUGUCUGUAUUCCCCCACCCCCCCCGGGAGGGAUCCGAGGCGAACGGAGGGGCGGGAGCACGGCCGGGGGCUGAGCGGGCAGCUGCCGCCCGCACCGGGCAGGUUGAGCGGGCGAGCCCUGAGGCGGGCGGGGGGGCUGCACCCCUCAGGCUGGGGGCCGGGGCCUGCAGCGGGCGUUGCGGGGCGGUCUGUGAGGAGAAGGAGAUCCCUCGGCACGUCGUCGUCCACCCUUCUUCCCCCUCCACAAAUAAAUUUAUUUCUCUGCAAAAAUCCCCUGUGGCCGCCUGCUGCCACCCCUCCGCCCGAGGGGCGCCUCACAGCCGUGCGGGGGAGGCUCCCCCUCAGGGAGCGGGGCUCGCUAGGGGCUCAGGCCGGCUCUGAGCGGGGCUGCCCGCCGCCCCCUGCCCUGCGACGUGUGGAUCUUUUGUUAUCUACAGUGUGUCACAUGACUUGUUUCUGUUUCUCUCUUUUUUUUUUUUCUUUUUUUUUUUUUUAAAUAAUUUAUUUAUUUAUUUCACGUUGGGGCUCGGAGACAAUACCCCGCAGCUUAUUUUUACGCAGGACGUUUCCACGUUCCACCCACUGUACACAGUCUCGCCCCAUGUUGCAGGCGGUGGUAAACUGUACCAGGAAGGUUUUAAAGGUGAGAUUUAAGGGUGAUGAGUGACUUGGUGGCUCAAAGCAGAUAGGAAGGGAGUGCAGGGUUCUGGAGAGUUGAAACAAGACAAAUGAAAGAGGAAUUUAUCUGUGGAUAGUGGAGAGGAGCACGCCAAGGCUGGAGUAGGUGCCAGGAGAUAAGCUGAGUUUGUGUAGAGUUUUGAAGGAGGAGAGAAAAAACGAGCAGUUGUCAAGCUCAGGAGAAGCCAGAGAAGCUGAAGGUGGGUAGAAUAUCUUUCCAUUUCCAAGGGGAACAGUGAACAGAUUUUAAAAAUCGUUGCUCUGCUUUUGAGCAAAGGAACUAGAGACUAUCCUAAGGAAGGCAUUGCAAGAGGACACAUAAGGAAUUCAGCAAAGACAGAAGUCCAAGCAGAGAUGUUCUGUCAGUAAGAGCUUGUUAUUGCCAACACUGUGAGCCAACUAGGCCGAUCCAUAAGCCUGGCAGAAGCACUUAAUGGGAAGAAGGCCCCUAAUUUUUUUGGUUUGACUAUCCGAGCUUGGUUCAAUAGCAGAAAAUGCUGGUGCAACCAGCAUGGAAGUGCUAACAUAGCUUUACAGCUAUUUUGGUAUAGAUUAUUCACUCUUGGCUGUCUUUGCUGAUGCAAUAAGUCUUCCAAAUGCCAGGUUGCAUGAACAGAAGAUGACCUGCAUUGCAUGUGGGUAUCACAGCAUUCACCACAACAUUAUUUGGAGCGCUUUCAUAGUCUUGGCAGUCAUCAUAAGGAGCUGUGGGGAGUGAUGAUCACAUUCCUCCAAGCCUCUCCAUGAUCAUCCUUUUUUUUAUACAAUUUUUUAAAACCUUAAAUUCCCUUUGGUUCAUCAUCAGACUGCCACCUUUGUGCCAGGUUUCAUCUCAUCAUUAGAACUAUAGAUGCAGAAUAGUAGCAUGGAACAUUCACAGUGUAUGUUCAGAAAAAGGCCAACUGAUUCUUUUGCAGUUGUGAGCAACCAGCACAACAGCUGGCAGUACAGCAGUGGGAAUAAAAGGGAAAUGCAAACAGUGAACAAGACGGACAUCUCCUGUGAGGAGUUAUUGACCAGCAACACAUGGUGGAACAAAUGUUAAGUUAUGGCAUCAAACGUCAAGGCGGGGGGCGGGGCAGCAGAAUGUUCAGAUGUGAUCUUGCUCAAGUUGCAUAUGAAGCACGUUAGUUUUCUGAUAUGCCAAAAUGAGAAAACUGAGUUACAGUAAUGCUGGAGUAAGUAGAUUCCUUGAGGCAUUCAGAAUCGGUAUGUUUGGUAUGGUCAGAAGCUGCCACAACUCAAAAGAAGCAAACAACUGGGAAAUAGGGAACACGAAGUUUUAUGUCAUCUGCAGAAAAACAGCCAGUAGUCAAACUGUCUCUGAGGAAGAACAUUCACAAACAAGCUGGCCAGGCUUAUUCUUGGGGCAGAAUAAAGGAUGCAGUUAAAAAUUAAGUGUACAUCUUGAUCCACUGUGAAUGAAAGACAUAAUAAUGAAGAAAUACCAUUAAAUUUUCUCGUUUGAGGACUGGUAGGCUAAAAAACCUUGCUGAGCUCAAGUAAGAUAUGGAAAGAGAUAAGUGUAUAAUCAGAAAAAUGACUAAGCUGUUAACCACCCAGAGAAGGCAUCCUUGACUCUGAGAAAGGAUCAGAAAUCAGCUAAAGAUGGGAAGCGAAAAGUGACCCUGAGCCAACAGAUGAAAACAGAAGCCUGUUUUCUGAAAACUGCUGCAGAGGGAGUUAGAGGCUAUUCCUCUGCCUUAAGUUGACAGGAAUAGUAUUGAUUUUUAAGAGUACACAAAUGUUCAGCAGGACUAGGACCGACAGAAGCAUGUGGAGCCUGGUAUGCAAUGGGACAUUCAUCUUCAUGAAACAACUUCAUUCUACCAGGCAUAAAUUUGCUUUGACAAAGCAGUCCACAAGAAGCUCCAGACAGUUAGGUAGGGCAUCCCAGCACAAGCUGAGACACCUGAGAGGGAGCUGAAAGUUUUCCCAGCCAUGCAGGUAGUUUGGUGAUGUAUAGCAAAAUGGAACAACUGAUGAACGAACGUUAGUUCCUCAUUUAUGUUGUCACAACUGAAACUGUGCUUAUUCUCCUUGACCUGCAUUACUUAGAUCUGCCUGUCGUAUUUUAAGGCUCCCAUCAUCUUGAUAUCUCAGCACAACCUAUUUUCAUGUUAAGGGCCAUCUAUUCAUAUACCUCUUUCAAACGUGUUGGCACAAUUUUUCUGAAAGGAGUUCCUUCUAAUUUUUACUCCCUUCUCCAAAAUCCAUUUAAUCUAUCUGCUAACACAGAGGACCUUUUUAUUUGGUUCCUUUUAUGUUUGUUUCUGCUAUAGUAGCUUGUUAUUUCUUUUGCUAAAGCUUUAGAAAUCACUUGAGGAAUUUUAGUAAUGUAUUCAUUUUGAGGUAGCUGUAUCUUCAGAGCUGGUAAACAGAAAGUCUCUUAUCCACUUCAGUGGGCUUUGGAUCAGGUGUUUAAUGCUAACAUCAUUUCAGUUCUUCUAAUCUAGUUGUUUGGGGCCCAGCAUGCAGCUCCUGAGGCUGAUGAGAUUUUCACCAUAGGCUUUAAUGAGAGCAGAAUCAGCCCCUAGUUCCUGAGAGACAACCAAUAAAAAUCCUAAAGAAAUAAGUACAAGACUUUCUUGAACUGAGUCUUUGAUUUGAUUUGAUUCUGAAUCUCACUGGAUUUUUUUUCCACAGGCACCUUGACCUCUGUUCUAUGUCUUAUCCUAACAGGAUGAGCUGAAGUUUCCAUUACCUAGGCCUACUGGAGAUUGGGCCCAGCAGUCAUUUGGCAGUGGCCUUGCAAGAGCAGCAAUGCCAGCUCUCUCUUGCAAUGCCCACAUUCAGAGAUCUGUAGAAUUAGAGUCCAAAUUCUGCUUGUAUUUGCAAGCCCAGAACACCACUGACUUCAAGGGGGUUGUAGGAUUUUAGCCAAGAGCAGAAAUUGGUCCAGGAUUUUUUCAGAUUCCCUCAUGCUUCUGUUUAUAUGAUGUUAUCAUCAAGAACUAACAGCAUACUUCAUGAUGAAUUUUACUUUUAAAUUACAUAAAGGAUAUUUACUGUGCUGAUGCUACAUAGUUUGCAAGAAAGAUGCACAUAUGGAAAUGAAAACACACUGAUUACCAUUAGGAUUUCCAGCUUUCAGCAUUCAUUUUCCAAAACAACCCAGGGACUAUUUCUCAUCAAAAAAUGCAGAAAUGAAAAUCUUCUUUCUUGGCAUUUAUGUAUGCCAUUCAGGAGUCUUACUCAUCAAGUCUGUUGUGAAAAUGGUCAGAAUAAAAAAGCCUCGUAAUGUACAAAAAGUUCAGUACUCUGCUUUUGUUUUCUGUAUACUGGUUUCUCAGUCAGAGAUACAGAAUCAUAGAAUAUCGAAUUGGAAGAGACCCCUACAAGUAAUUGAUGUUCUUCUGCCUCUCAAGGGGUGGCAGAAGAGAGGAAGAUCUGGGGAAAGCUGAGUGAUCAGCAAGGACAACAUGUAAAAACACAGAUAAAGACUGAGAAUGAAUGGAUCAAAACUGUAAAAACAGGUCAGCAGGAUGCCAGGCAGAGCACGUUGGACGAUGCCCACUGCUGCCUGAAAGCAUCCGAGCAGCCAGCGGAGCCAGGUCAGUGCUGCCCAGAGCGAUGGCACCCGCUUCAGAGCCAGCAGCUCACUGAUGCUCUUGGAACUGCAAAAGGAACCUGAGAGCAAAAUAAUUGCUCAGUGUCUGUCUUAAGUAGGAAGCAGCAUAGGACAGAGGUCCUCCACAGAACAGAGCUCAUCUGGUUGUAGUGGGAGCUACUGAACUGCAUCAUUCCAAAUGAAGCAGAUUGUUUUGCUGCAUAGUUACAAAUCUGGGAGCUUCCUUCUAGAUAGCCUGCUUUAGAAAUCUGGGCUGGGGCCUUUAAAACCCUUGUCGACUCCUCAGUUAAGCUUUUACUAUCCAUGUUAAAUAGUUCAUUGAGCGUGGCCUGGUAUUUAGUAGAACAGUGUGCCAUUGUUGGCGAUGAGUAACUUUAGGCAAAGAAAUUAUUUUGUACCUCUGUGUUUUUUCUUCUCCAGCAUCUGCUUUGUUUAUGUAGAUAGUAAAGCCUUUCAGGGAAGGAGUGGCUCAUGCUAUGCAUGUCUAGUCACCAACACAGCGAACUCCAGUCUUACUGAGAGCUUCUCUGUGCUCCUCAGUCUCACUUAUUAACAGUAGCAUCUUAACACAUCUGUCUCUGUAUAUGCUUGCCUUUCACCCUACUGUAGAAACAGGGUUUUCAUAAUAAUUACAACUUGAAACUAAAAUCUGGAGUCCUAAAUUCUGUAACAUUACAGUAUCUGUAUAUCAUGCUUGCAUAAACCCUUGCACAAAUAGGUCACUGUACAGAAAGCCCAGAGGCUACCAACCGCUCUGGUGACCAGGUGCUAAAUUGUGAGUAUAAAGGGACCAGAGAUGGCUUAACAGAACAGCUUCGGUCACUGAAAAGUCUCCAUGCACACAAGAAAGCUGGCCCUGUCUGACUCUGCUCUAGUCUUUGCAGUUUAACGGGAGCAAAGGUCCUGCCAUCAGGGCAGUACUGCUUGGUGCUGCCUUAAUGGCAGCACUCCUUCCAAGGCCUUUAAAAGCCAGCAGAAUUUAGUGCAUCCCUGAGGGUGCUCUGGGCCAAUUUUUGCUUUUGCAAUUUUCUGUUGCCUCCACUGCAUGUAGCAGAGCUCUUAACUUGUAGUGUUUCACUGGAUUCUUGGAUUUAGAGGGCUGUUCUGUGUAAAUAAUCAUGGUGUCUGGGCACAUCCUGGUGUCUAGAAAGCAAACAGUAUGCUCAAAGCAUCUGUCAGGGAUCUAGAUACAAAUGUUCCAAAUGACAAAAAUGUCUGUUCAUCCAUUUACCUGCCUGCCUAGGAAUGCCAAGAGCACCAGACUACUACGGGUUUGAUGUUCUUGUUUGUUCUGUUACUGUCCAUCUGACCUUGCUAGUUCAGACAGGCUAUUUGUCAAUGCCAGAGAAAUCUGCUGCAGCAACAGGGGGAAUAUCCUGUGUCAGUAUUCUCCAGCUCCUUGAGGGAACUACCUCAUUAGAGAAGCUAAAACGUCGCUUUGAUUGCUUAGAAGCAAGCCAUUUAUUUUUCAAAAAUCUCCAAGCAGUUAUUCACUUCUUGUAAAAUUAUAAUGCCUGAAGUCUUUUUUCUGAAGCAGUCUUGGAUACUGCAAUGACUUGAAAUUUGCAGCCAAUAAAAAGUUUUACAGCAAAGCAGA
Falco peregrinus (peregrine falcon) is the source of this 6143-nucleotide long non-coding RNA. RefSeq lists it as uncharacterized. The transcript is spliced from 2 exons. NCBI's taxonomy places the organism in Eukaryota, Metazoa, Chordata, Aves, Falconiformes, Falconidae. The record is from RefSeq and is a predicted model, not a curated record.